RNAcentral lists this ribosomal RNA (253 nucleotides) under uncultured bacterium. Its description in RNAcentral is "partial 16S ribosomal RNA". It matches the Rfam family "Bacterial small subunit ribosomal RNA", at positions 524 to 776 of the family's 1533-position model. The record is from RNAcentral.
UACAGAGGGUGCGAGCGUUAAUCGGAAUUACUGGGCGUAAAGCGUGCGUAGACGGCUAUCUAAGUCGGGUGUGAAAGCCCCCGGCUCAACUGGGGAGGGUCACGCGAUACUGCUCGACUCGAAGGCAGGAGAGGGAAGUGGAAUUCCCGGUGUAGUGGUGAAAUGCGUAGAUAUCGGGAGGAACACCAGUGGCGAAGGCGACUUCCUGGCCUGUUCUUGACGCUGAGGCGCGAAAGCUAGGGUAGCAAACAGG